CCAUUGCACUUAUCGGGAAGGGUGAGAAUCUUCGACCAAGGUUCGAGUCGAGCGAAAGCGAGACAACGUUGCCGCAGGCAACGGCCCGAAGGGUGAGGAGCGAAGCGACGAAUAAUCCUUCCCCCACCACCA
RNAcentral lists this small RNA (132 nucleotides) under Klebsiella michiganensis. Its description in RNAcentral is "RtT sRNA". It matches the Rfam family "RtT RNA". From Rfam's summary of the family: This family represents a bacterial cis-regulatory element known as RtT RNA. The record is from RNAcentral. Lineage: Bacteria; Pseudomonadati; Pseudomonadota; Gammaproteobacteria; Enterobacterales; Enterobacteriaceae.